RNAcentral lists this ribosomal RNA (253 nucleotides) under uncultured bacterium. RNAcentral's name for it is "partial 16S ribosomal RNA". It matches the Rfam family "Bacterial small subunit ribosomal RNA", at positions 524 to 776 of the family's 1533-position model. The record is from RNAcentral.
UACAGAGGUGGCAAGCGUUGUUCGGAAUUACUGGGCGUAAAGGGCGCGUAGGCGGUUUGUUAAGUCCCGUGUGAAAGUUUUUGGCUCAAUCGGGGAACGGCGUGGGAAACUAGCAGGCUUGAGUUCGGGAGAGGGAAGCGGAAUUCCGGGUGUAGCGGUGAAAUGCGCAGAUAUUUGGAGGAAUAUUGGUGGUGAAGGCGGCUUCCUGGAUUGACACUGACGCUGAGGUGCGAAAGCUAGGGGAGCAAACGGG